Molecule: ribosomal RNA, 254 nt
Filed under: uncultured bacterium
Lineage: Bacteria
Description: partial 16S ribosomal RNA
Rfam family: Bacterial small subunit ribosomal RNA
Source: RNAcentral
CACGUAGGGUGCGAGCGUUGUCCGGAAUUAUUGGGCGUAAAGAGCUCGUAGGCGGUGUGUCGCGUCGGCCGUGAAAACCUGCAGCUUAACUGUGGGCGUGCGGUCGAUACGGGCAUCACUGGAGUUCGGCAGGGGAGACUGGAAUUUCUGGUGUAGCGGUGAAAUGCGCAGAUAUCAGGAGGAACACCGGUGGCGAAGGCGGGUCUCUGGGCCGAUACUGACGCUGAGGAGCGAAAGCGUGGGGAGCGAACAGG